This 260-nucleotide unclassified non-coding RNA is filed under the name Hevea brasiliensis (rubber tree). Lineage: Eukaryota; Viridiplantae; Streptophyta; Magnoliopsida; Malpighiales; Euphorbiaceae. The record is from RNAcentral.
GGGCACGGUACUGCUGGGAUCCCCUUGAGGUCAGAGGGGCAAACCCAACCAUGAAGAAGUGCAGACGAGGAAAGGGGAUCAGGUUCACUGCCAGCUUCCUGAGGUCAGAGUUCAGCUGGCCUGGGAAACGGAGGCAGCAGGUAACCCCACUCAUGGUGGCAGAGAUCAAAUGGUUCAAGUCUCCAAAGCUAGGUGUUGUCAGCUUGAGAGUGCGGAAACAGAUAUCAUACAGAGCCUCAUUGUCAAGCACCAUACACUCA